CGCCGCGGUUAUACGAGCAGCCCAAGUUGACAGUCACCGGCGUAAAGAGUGGUUAGGGAAAGACUAGACUGAAGUAGAAACACCACAGGACGGUAGUAUGAACCCUGUGGCCCGUAAGAUCAGCAACGAAAGUGACUUCAAUACCCCUGACCCCACGAAAACUGAGGAA
Molecule: ribosomal RNA, 169 nt
Filed under: Asterorhombus cocosensis (Cocos Island flounder)
Lineage: Eukaryota; Metazoa; Chordata; Actinopteri; Pleuronectiformes; Bothidae
Description: partial 12S rRNA
Source: RNAcentral